Molecule: ribosomal RNA, 245 nt
Filed under: uncultured bacterium
Lineage: Bacteria
Description: partial 16S ribosomal RNA
Rfam family: Bacterial small subunit ribosomal RNA
Source: RNAcentral
GACAGAGGGUGCAAACGUUGUUCGGAAUUACUGGGCGUAAAGCGCGUGUAGGCUGUCCCGCAAGUCGGAUGUGAAAUCCCAGGGCUCAACCCUGGAAGUGCACCCGAAACUGCGAGACUGGAGUCCUGGAGAGGAAGGUGGAAUGCUCGGUGUAGAGGUGAAAUUCGUAGAUAUCGAGCGGAACACCAGUGGCGAAGGCGGCCUUCUGGACAGUGACUGACGCUGAGACGCGAAAGCGUGGGGAG